RNAcentral lists this ribosomal RNA (230 nucleotides) under uncultured bacterium. RNAcentral describes it as "partial 16S ribosomal RNA". It matches the Rfam family "Bacterial small subunit ribosomal RNA", at positions 105 to 334 of the family's 1533-position model. The record is from RNAcentral.
CGGAGUAACAACCGUAUCCCACCUGCCGUCUACUCUUGGACAGCCUUCUGAAAGGAAGGAAUUAAUACAAGAUGGCAUCAUGAGUCCGCAUGUUCACAUGAUUAAGGUAUUCCGGUGACGAUGGGGAUGCGUUCCAUUAGAUAGUAGGCGGGGUAACGGCCCACCUAGUCUUCGAUGGAUAGGGGUUCUGAGAGGAAGGUCCCCCACAUUGGAACUGAGACACGGUCCAA